This 433-nucleotide ribosomal RNA is filed under the name uncultured bacterium. RNAcentral describes it as "partial 16S ribosomal RNA". It matches the Rfam family "Bacterial small subunit ribosomal RNA", at positions 28 to 507 of the family's 1533-position model. The record is from RNAcentral.
GACGAACGCUGACAGCAUGCCUAACACAUGCAAGUCGAACUAAACCUUCGUGUGGAUGGCCGAACGGUGACUAAACGCUUAAGAACCUGCCCUUAAGUUCGGAAUAACUCAUAGAAAUGUAAGCUAAUACCUGAUAAUAUGUUCAUACCAAAGAGUUAUGGCAUGUGGGUUGUCCUGCGUAGGAGUAGCUUUUGGGUGGGGUUAUGGCCUACGAAGGCGACGAGCCUUAGCUGGUCUGAGAGGAUGAUCAGCCACACUGGGACACAGACACCGCACAGAUUCGUAAGGGAGGAAGCAGUAGGGAAUAUUGGAGAAUGGGCGAAAGGAUGCUCCAGCACUGCGGCGUGAGUGAUGAAUGCCUUAGGGUUGUAAAGCUCCUUUACCAGGGAUGAUAAUGACAGUACCUGCAGAAUAAGCUACGGCUAAAUCCGUG